RNAcentral lists this ribosomal RNA (1443 nucleotides) under metagenome. Its description in RNAcentral is "bacterial SSU rRNA". It matches the Rfam family "Bacterial small subunit ribosomal RNA". The record is from RNAcentral.
AGAGUUUGAUCCUGGCUCAGGAUGAACGCUGGCGGCGUGCUUAACACAUGCAAGUCGAACGAACCUUCGGGUUAGUGGCGGACGGGUGAGUAACGCGUGGGAACCUGCCCUCAGGAGGGGGAUAACGGUUGGAAACGGCCGCUAAUACCCCAUAUGCCGAGAGGUGAAAUGAAUUUCGCCUGAGGAUGGGCCCGCGUCUGAUUAGCUAGUUGGUGGGGUAAGAGCCUACCAAGGCGACGAUCAGUAGCUGGUCUGAGAGGAUGAUCAGCCACACUGGGACUGAGACACGGCCCAGACUCCUACGGGAGGCAGCAGUGGGGAAUUUUCCGCAAUGGGCGAAAGCCUGACGGAGCAACGCCGCGUGAGGGAUGAAGGCCUCUGGGCUGUAAACCUCUUUUCUCAAGGAAGAAGACCUGACGGUACCUGAGGAAUAAGCCACGGCUAAUUCCGUGCCAGCAGCCGCGGUAAUACGGGAGUGGCAAGCGUUAUCCGGAAUUAUUGGGCGUAAAGCGUCCGCAGGUGGCCCUGUAAGUCUGUCGUUAAAGCGUGGAGCUUAACUCCAUUUAAGCGAUGGAAACUACAGGGCUAGAGUGUGGUAGGGGCAGAGGGAAUUCCCGGUGUAGCGGUGAAAUGCGUAGAUAUCGGGAAGAACACCAGUGGCGAAGGCGCUCUGCUGGGCCAUCACUGACACUCAUGGACGAAAGCCAGGGGAGCGAAAGGGAUUAGAUACCCCUGUAGUCCUGGCCGUAAACGAUGAACACUAGGUGUCGGGGGAAUCGACCCCCUCGGUGUCGUAGCCAACGCGUUAAGUGUUCCGCCUGGGGAGUACGCACGCAAGUGUGAAACUCAAAGGAAUUGACGGGGGCCCGCACAAGCGGUGGAGUAUGUGGUUUAAUUCGAUGCAACGCGAAGAACCUUACCAGGGUUUGACAUCCUGCGAAUCCCUUGGAAACGAGGGAGUGCCUUCGGGAGCGCAGAGACAGGUGGUGCAUGGCUGUCGUCAGCUCGUGUCGUGAGAUGUUGGGUUAAGUCCCGCAACGAGCGCAACCCACGUCGUUAGUUGCCAGCAUUCAGUUGGGCACUCUAGCGAGACCGCCGGUGAUAAACCGGAGGAAGGUGUGGAUGACGUCAAGUCAUCAUGCCCCUUACAUCCUGGGCUACACACGUACUACAAUGCUACGGACAAAGGGCAGCGAUCCCGCGAGGGCUAGCAAAUCCCAUAAACCGUGGCUCAGUUCAGAUCGUAGGCUGCAACUCGCCUACGUGAAGGAGGAAUCGCUAGUAAUCGCAGGUCAGCAUACUGCGGUGAAUACGUUCCCGGGCCUUGUACACACCGCCCGUCACACCAUGGAAGUUGGCCACGCCCGAAGUCGUUACUCCAACCCUUGUGGAGGAGGACGCCGAAGGUGGGGCUGAUGACUGGGGUGAAGUCGAAACAAGGUA